UGAAGUCUUUUAUGACUGAGUGGCGGACGGGUGAGUAACGCGUGGGUAACCUGCCUCAUACAGGGGGAUAGCAGCUGGAAACGGCUGGUAAUACCGCAUAAGCGCACGGUAUCGCAUGAUACAGUGUGAAAAACUCCGGUGGUAUGAGAUGGACCCGCGUCUGAUUAGCUGGUUGGUGAGGUAACGGCCCACCAAGGCGACGAUCAGUAGCCGACCUGAGAGGGUGACCGGCCACAUUGGGACUGAGACACGGCCCAGACUCCUACGGGAGGCAGCAGUGGGGAAUAUUGCACAAUGGAGGAAACUCUGAUGCAGCGACGCCGCGUGAGUGAAGAAGUAGUUCGCUAUGUAAAGCUCUAUCAGCAGGGAAGAUAGUGACGGUACCUGACUAAGAAGCUCCGGCUAAAUACGUGCCAGCAGCCGCGGUAAUACGUAUGGAGCAAGCGUUAUCCGGAUUUACUGGGUGUAAAGGGAGUGUAGGUGGCCAGGCAAGUCAGAAGUGAAAGCCCGGGGCUCAACCCCGGGACUGCUUUUGAAACUGCAGGGCUAGAGUGCAGGAGGGGCAAGUGGAAUUCCUAGUGUAGCGGUGAAAUGCGUAGAUAUUAGGAGGAACACCAGUGGCGAAGGCGGCUUGCUGG
RNAcentral lists this ribosomal RNA (638 nucleotides) under uncultured bacterium. RNAcentral describes it as "bacterial SSU rRNA". It matches the Rfam family "Bacterial small subunit ribosomal RNA", at positions 75 to 732 of the family's 1533-position model. The record is from RNAcentral.